This 460-nucleotide ribosomal RNA is filed under the name uncultured bacterium. RNAcentral's name for it is "partial 16S ribosomal RNA". It matches the Rfam family "Bacterial small subunit ribosomal RNA", at positions 338 to 795 of the family's 1533-position model. The record is from RNAcentral.
CCUACGGGCGGCAGCAGUGAGGAAUAUUGGUCAAUGGGCGUAAGCCUGAACCAGCCAAGUCGCGUGAGGGAUGAAGGUUCUAUGGAUCGUAAACCUCUUUUAUAAGGGAAUAAAGUGUGGGACGUGUCCUAUUUUGUAUGUACCUUAUGAAUAAGGAUCGGCUAACUCCGUGCCAGCAGCCGCGGUAAUACGGAGGAUCCGAGCGUUAUCCGGAUUUAUUGGGUUUAAAGGGUGCGUAUGCGGGCUUUUAAGUCAUCGGUGAAAGUCUGUGGCUCAACCCUAGAAUUGCCGUUGAAACUGGGGGGCUUGAGUAUGUUAGAGGCAGGUGGAAUGCGGGGUGUAGCGGUGAAAUGCUUAGAUAUCACGCAGAACCCCGAUUGCGAAGGCAGCCUGCCAAGCCAUGACUGACGCUGAUGCACGAAAGCGUGGGGAUCAAACAGGAUUAGAUACCCGGGUAGUC